RNAcentral lists this ribosomal RNA (460 nucleotides) under uncultured bacterium. RNAcentral describes it as "partial 16S ribosomal RNA". It matches the Rfam family "Bacterial small subunit ribosomal RNA", at positions 338 to 795 of the family's 1533-position model. The record is from RNAcentral.
CCUACGGGAGGCAGCAGUGAGGAAUAUUGGUCAAUGGGCGGAAGCCUGAACCAGCCAAGUCGCGUGAGGGACUAAGGCCCUACGGGUCGUAAACCUCUUUUGCCGGGGCUCAGUGCCCAGCUCGCGAGCCGGGAGGGAGCGUACCCGGAGAACAAGCAUCGGCUAACUCCGUGCCAGCAGCCGCGGUAAUACGGAGGAUGCGAGCGUUAUCCGGAUUUAUUGGGUUUAAAGGGUGCGUAGGCGGGCUUUAAGGUCGGCGGUAAAAUGUAGGGGCUCAACCCGGCCGAGCCGUCGGAACCGGGGGCGUUGAGUGCAGGAGAAGUACGCGGAAUGCGUGGUGUAGCGGUGAAAUGCAUAGAUAUCACGCAGAACCCCGAUUGCGAAGGCAGCGUACCGGCCGGUCACUGACGCUGAGGCACGAAAGCGCGGGUAUCGAACAGGAUUAGAUACCCGGGUAGUC